This 216-nucleotide long non-coding RNA is filed under the name Elaeis guineensis (African oil palm). RNAcentral's name for it is "long non-coding RNA (EGUI_LNC067029)". Lineage: Eukaryota; Viridiplantae; Streptophyta; Magnoliopsida; Arecales; Arecaceae. The record is from RNAcentral.
GGUGGCACUCUUAGGGACAUCAAUCAAAUACUCCCAUUGAUCUGCCAGAUCAAGAGAAUGAAUAGAUGUCCCUCUUUCCAAGGGAAUGGGAAGAACCUCCGAUACAGGGCCAGCAACCUCUGAUGAUGGCACUGGAGGAACUUCAGGAGGAGGGGGCACCGAAGAUGCACCUCUGGUACUUGCUCCAGUGGGCCACGGCUUCUUAACUACCCCUAU